GCGAGAGCAAAGUGAGAAUCUUUGCCGUCGAAAGCCUAAGGUUUCCUGAGGAAGGCUCGUCCUCUCAGGGUAAGUCGGGACCUAAGCCGAGGACAAGAGUCGUAGGCGAUGGACAACAGGUUGAUAUUCCUGUACCGUACUUAAGCGUUUGACUGAAGCAGUGACACAGAAGGAUAGACAGACCGGGGGAAUGGUAGACUCCGGCCAAGCAGUGAGGCUGACAUGUAGUGAAGUACGCAUGUUAAGGCUGGGCUGUGAUGGGGACUGAAGAUUAGUAAGGAAGCUGUUGAAUUCACACUGGCGAGAAAAGCUGCUAAGGAGCGAGAGUAUGCCCGUACCGCAAACCGACACAGGUAGGCGAGGAGAGAAUCCUAAGACGAGCGGGAGAACCCUUGUUAAGGAACUCGGCAAAAUGACUCCGUAACUUAGGGAGAAGGAGUGCCUCGAGAGAGGCCGCAGAGAAUAGGCCCAAGCGACUGUUUACCAAAAACACAGGUCUGUGCGAAGUAGAGAUACGACGUAUACGGGCUGACGCCUGCCCAGUGCCGGAAGGUUAAGGGGAAGUGUUAGGGCAACCGAAGCACGGAACUUAAGCCCCGGUGAACGGCGGCCGUAACUAUAACGGUCCUAAGGUAGCGAAAUUCCUUGUCGGGUAAGUUCCGACCCGCACGAAUGGCGUAACGACUUGGGCACUGUCUCAACAAGGGACCCGGCGAAAUUGUAGUAUGUGUGAAGAUGCACAUUACCCGCGAUAGGACGGAAAGACCCCGUAGAGCUUUACUGUAGUUUAACAUUGGAUUUUGAUAACACAUGUACAGGAUAGGUGGGAGGCUGAGAAACCGGCACGCCAGUGCCGAUGGAGCCGCUGUUGGGAUACCACUCUUGUGUUAUUGGAGUUCUAACGAAGUGCCGUAAACCGGGCUUCGGACAGUGUUAGAUGGGCAGUUUGACUGGGGCGGUCGCCUCCGAAAGAGUAACGGAGGCGUCCAAAGGUUCCCUCAGAAUGGUUGGAAACCAUUCGCAGAGUGCAAAGGCAGAAGGGAGCUUGACUGCGAGACCGACAGGUCGAGCAGGUACGAAAGUAGGGCUUAGUGAUCCGGCGGUAUGAGAGUGGAAUUGCCGUCGCUCAACGGAUAAAAGCUACCUCGGGGAUAACAGGCUGAUCUCCCCCAAGAGUUCACAUCGACGGGGAGGUUUGGCAC
Molecule: ribosomal RNA, 1202 nt
Filed under: human gut metagenome
Description: bacterial LSU rRNA
Rfam family: Bacterial large subunit ribosomal RNA
Source: RNAcentral